ACAUGCAAGUCGAACGAAGGCUUCGGCCUUAGUGGCGCACGGGUGCGUAACGCGUGGGAAUCUGCCCUCUGGCACGGAAUAACUCAGGGAAACUUGAGCUAAUACCGUAUAAUGACUUCGGUCCAAAGAUUUAUCGCCUGAGGAUGAGCCCGCGUAGGAUUAGCUUGUUGGUGAGGUAAAGGCUCACCAAGGCGACGAUCCUUAGCUGGUCUGAGAGGAUGAUCAGCCACACUGGGACUGAGACACGGCCCAGACUCCUACGGGAGGCAGCAGUGGGGAAUAUUGGACAAUGGGCGAAAGCCUGAUCCAGCAAUGCCGCGUGAGUGAUGAAGGCCUUAGGGUUGUAAAGCUCUUUUACCCGGGAUGAUAAUGACAGUACCGGGAGAAUAAGCCCCGGCUAACUCCGUGCCAGCAGCCGCGGUAAUACGGAGGGGGCUAGCGUUGUUCGGAAUUACUGGGCGUAAAGCGCACGUAGGCGGCUUUGUAAGUUAGAGGUGAAAGCCCGGGGCUCAACUCCGGAAUUGCCUUUAAGACUGCAUCGCUUGAGUUGUGGAGAGGUAAGUGGAAUUCCGAGUGUAGAGGUGAAAUUCGUAGAUAUU
This 599-nucleotide ribosomal RNA is filed under the name uncultured bacterium. RNAcentral describes it as "bacterial SSU rRNA". It matches the Rfam family "Bacterial small subunit ribosomal RNA", at positions 53 to 698 of the family's 1533-position model. The record is from RNAcentral.